RNAcentral lists this long non-coding RNA (611 nucleotides) under Mytilus galloprovincialis (Mediterranean mussel). The record is from RNAcentral. Lineage: Eukaryota; Metazoa; Mollusca; Bivalvia; Mytilida; Mytilidae.
UUUUUGAAAUUUUACGUCUAGGAUAGACCAAGGACAUGGGAAUCAUAAAUUCGUGCCUCAAAUAGGUGUAAAAACGAGGAUUUUCCAAAAAAAAAUUCCUCUAAUUGAAAAUAACGUUAAAAUUAAUUAUGAAAGUUAUGUCCGUAUCUAUUUCAUUAAUAUUGCAAAUUUAAAGUUAUUUAAAACAAGGAGGUCACAUAAUAACCUCUGAAUCCUUUUCGUCAUUAAAAUGCGACUGAUAAGUAUAGAUAUUCAAUAUGAAAAGGGGGGAAAUAACCGUGACUGAAAUCUAAAUCUAAAAUUUGUUUUAAAAAAAUACACAUUUGACCAUGCAGAUGUAAGAAAUGAUACUUCAAGCAAUGAAACUACGAAUUAAAUGUGCCACUUUCAUUACGACUGAUAACCUAAAAAUGAAUCAUGCAUGCAUUUUUAGCAGACUUAACCAGGUCGGCGAUAAGAUAUCGAAUAUAAAAAAGAAGAUAUGGUUUGGUGUCAAUGAGACAACUAUCUACAAGAAACGAAAAUAACACAGAAGUACAAACUAUGGGUCUCCGUACGGCCUUCAACAACAGACAAAGCACGUACCGCAUAGUCGGCUAUAAAAGGCCCCG